This 1436-nucleotide ribosomal RNA is filed under the name uncultured bacterium. RNAcentral describes it as "16S ribosomal RNA". It matches the Rfam family "Bacterial small subunit ribosomal RNA". The record is from RNAcentral.
AGAGUUUGAUCCUGGCUCAGAACGUACGCUGGCGGCACGCCUUAUACAUGCAAGUCGAACGAAGUAGCAAUACUUAGUGGCAGACGGGUGAGUAACAUGUAGGUAUCUGCCCUUUGGCCUGGAAUAACACGAGGAAACUUGUGCUAAUACUGGAUAAGUCUUUACGGAGAAAGCUUUAUGCACCAUUGGAUGAGCCUGCACUUGAUUAGUUUGUUGGUGGGGUAAUGGCCUACCAAGACAAUGAUCAAUAGCUGAUUUGAGAGGAUGAUCAGCCACAUUGGAACUGAGACACGGUCCAAACUCCUACGGGAGGCAGCAGUAGGGAAUCUUGCACAAUGGAGGAAACUCUGAUGCAGCGAUGCCGCGUGAGUGAAGAAGGCCUUUGGGUUGUAAAGCUCUUUCGUCGGGGAAGAAAAUGACUGUACCCGAAUAAGAAGGUCCGGCUAACUUCGUGCCAGCAGCCGCGGUAAUACGAAGGGACCUAGCGUAGUUCGGAAUUACUGGGCUUAAAGAGUUCGUAGGUGGUUAAAAAAGUUGGUGGUGAAAUCCCAGAGCUUAACUCUGGAACUGCCAUCAAAACUUUUUAGCUAGAGUAUGAUAGAGGAAAGCAGAAUUUCUAGUGUAGAGGUGAAAUUCGUAGAUAUUAGAAAGAAUACCGAUUGCGAAGGCAGCUUUCUGGAUCAUUACUGACACUGAGGAACGAAAGCAUGGGUAGCGAAGAGGAUUAGAUACCCUCGUAGUCCAUGCCGUAAACGAUGUGUGUUAGACGUUGGAAAUUUAUUUUCAGUGUCGCAGCGAAAGCAAUAAACACACCGCCUGGGGAGUACGACCGCAAGGUUAAAACUCAAAUGAAUUGACGGGGACCCGCACAAGUAGUGGAGCAUGUGGUUUAAUUCGAAGAUACGCGCAGAACCUUACCAACACUUGACAUGUUCGUCGCGACUUUAAGAGAUUAGAGUCUUCGGUUCGGCCGGACAAAACACAGGUGCUGCAUGGCUGUCGUCAGCUCGUGUCGUGAGAUGUUGGGUUAAGUCCCGCAACGAGCGCAACCCCUAUUUUUAGUUGCUACCAUUUAGUUGGGCACUCUAAAAAAACUGCCAGUGAUAAGCUGGAGGAAGGCGGGGAUGACGUCAAGUCCUCAUGGCCCUUACGUGUUGGGCUACACACGUGCUACAAUGGUACUUACAGUGAGAAGCAAAGAGGCGACUCUAAGCCAAUCCCAAAAAGGUACCUCAGUUCGGAUUGUACUCUGCAACUCGAGUACAUGAAGCUGGAAUUACUAGUAAUCGCGGAUCAGCGCGCCGCGGUGAAUACGUUCCCGGGUCUUGUACACACCGCCCGUCACACCAUGGAAGUUGGUUACACCUUAAGGCAAAGCUUAAAACCUUUGACUACGGUACGAUCAGCGACUGGGGUGAAGUCGUAACAAGGUAACC